This is a long non-coding RNA of Alexandromys fortis (reed vole), 312 nucleotides long. RefSeq lists it as uncharacterized. NCBI's taxonomy places the organism in Eukaryota, Metazoa, Chordata, Mammalia, Rodentia, Cricetidae. The record is from RefSeq and is a predicted model, not a curated record. The transcript has 3 exons.
CUCUUUGUACGCGUGUCUGCCGCGUUGUUGUGUGCUCGUCCUUGGGCCUGCAUCCUUGCCUUGUCUCUGGCUUUGCUCCCUCCGUGGAGGUCGUGCAGCAGGUCUCUGAUCCGCGCCGGCGGGACCCAGGGCCACGAUGGGGUUUGAGGACACCCGCUGGCUGCUUUCUCCUGAAGGAAGGUUAGUAUUGGGCGACAGAAGGUCCUUAGGUUAUCUCAGACGGUUUUCUUAGCGAGGCGUCAUGGCCGUUAACGUUUGUUUAUCCCUUGCUUAUUUUCUAAAAAUGUGUGCACGUUUGUCUGAAUUCGUCGG